ACACGUUCCCGCCCCCGCGGAGGAGUUGGGAGCCGCCUCCUUCCCGUGGGCCCUGCCCGGGCUUACCUUCACAGUGCCGCAAAAAGCUGCUAGGAUGCGAGAUCCAACAGUUCCAAGGGAGCAGUCAUCAGCAAUUAGAGAAAUCCAAUGGUGCCCAUCAUUGUCUUUGCUGUGUUUCAAAUAUCAAACUGAAAACCCAGCACAGCAUCAAGUAUGCUACAGUAUUAAUAGAAGUCAUCUGUGUUCCUUAAGAAGAAUAAAUAGCAGCAUAAGUAGAAAGGGACCAAGACAGCAAAGAAAGGUCAGAAAUCUUGGACUAAGUUUUUAUAAAGCAUAGUAUAGAAUAGAAAAGACAUUCUGAAGAGAAAUCUAGUGGUCUUCUGGACAGAAAUCUGUUCUUCCUAUUGGAAGGGGUGUGAAUGCUUCUACAGAUUUUACUCAAGUAUGAAAUAUCAGAAUUGCUAUACAUUUUCUUCAUGUUUAUGCUCAAUUUACACUUCAGCUCAAGAGAAGUGUCUGAAAAUCUUAGAGACAGUCCAUCUGACUGCUGGUAGGAGUGGUUGUCUUUUAGUAGUGUUAGUUUUUCCUUCUGCCUUUGGGAGGAGUCUUAUGCCCUCAGCAGUCUUCUUUCCUAAAACAAAGAUCUUGGAACACAAUCAUGCCCAAAUAUCAAAGUUUUUUCCCUUGUCAUUGCUUAAAACUAGAUAAAUUAUUCUGGGCUUGUAUGAAUUGUCACUUGUCUGUGUUCUUGCCUUUCUGUUUCAAGCUGCCAUGUUUUCCCUUCUUGUUGCUUCAAAAUACUUCUGGAAUGAGCCACCUUUUCUACCUACCACCCCAACCUUUGAUUAGCGAGCUUUCUGAAGUGGGAUGGUUAUGACUUAUAGGGGAAGUGGGAAUGAUUGCGACACUACCAGAAGAGUUCCAUAUCUUCAUGUUACAAUGCAGAAUAUUCUCAGAGAAUUAAAUGCUCUUUUAAAAUGUACUGACUUUCAAGUGCUGGCAGUUAAGUAAUGCAUCCCAAGUGCUCAAAUGAAUAGUAAUGGAAGAAGAUCAUAGCAGGAAAUUUCAGUGGCUUACCUCCUUAGCUUAUGGUAGGCCUGACUAUGGUCGUGAGAUUUUUGUCUUUAAAGAAGUCUAUGUUGAAGGGUUGCCCAAAUUCAAUGACUAAGUCAUGUUUCUCCACUUCUGGGUGUAAAGCCCAGUGAACUGGGCGUGAGUGGAACAU
This 1225-nucleotide long non-coding RNA is filed under the name Gallus gallus (chicken). RNAcentral's name for it is "lncRNA (ENSGALG00010020631.1)". Lineage: Eukaryota; Metazoa; Chordata; Aves; Galliformes; Phasianidae. The record is from RNAcentral.